GCCAGGCGUGGUGGCACAUGCCUGUAAUCCCAGCAACUCAGGAGGCUGAGGCAGGAGGAUCUCGAGUUCAAAACCAGCCUCAGCAAAAAGUGAGGAGCUAAGCAACUCAGUGAGACCCUGUCUCUA
This 126-nucleotide small RNA is filed under the name Marmota monax (woodchuck). Lineage: Eukaryota; Metazoa; Chordata; Mammalia; Rodentia; Sciuridae. The record is from RNAcentral.